This 497-nucleotide ribosomal RNA is filed under the name uncultured bacterium. RNAcentral's name for it is "partial 16S ribosomal RNA". It matches the Rfam family "Bacterial small subunit ribosomal RNA", at positions 28 to 507 of the family's 1533-position model. The record is from RNAcentral.
GAUGAACGCUGGCGGCGUGCCUAAUACAUGCAAGUCGAGCGAACAGACGAGGAGCUUGCUCCUCUGACGUUAGCGGCGGACGGGUGAGUAACACGUGGAUAACCUACCUAUAAGACUGGGAUAACUUCGUGAAACCGGAGCUAAUACCGGAUAAUAUAUUGAACCGCAUGGUUCAAUAGUGAAAGAGGGUUUUGCUGUCACUUAUAGAUGGAUCCGCGCCGCAUUAGCUAGUUGGUAAGGUAACGGCUUACCAAGGCAACGAUGCGUAGCCGACCUGAGAGGGUGAUCGGCCACACUGGAACUGAGACACGGUCCAGACUCCUACGGGAGGCAGCAGUAGGGAAUCUUCCGCAAUGGGCGAAAGCCUGACGGAGCAACGCCGCGUGAGUGAUGAAGGUCUUCGGAUCGUAAAACUCUGUUAUUAGGGAAGAACAAAUGUGUAAGUAACUAUGCACGUCUUGACGGUACCUAAUCAGAAAGCCACGGCUAACUACGUG